This 349-nucleotide ribosomal RNA is filed under the name uncultured eukaryote. RNAcentral describes it as "partial small subunit ribosomal RNA". The record is from RNAcentral.
UGAUCAUCUCGCCGACCUCCACGUCCAGGCUGACGUCGUUUCCGUGUUCACCGACCGGUGUGGUUCUCGGCUCGAACAGGCUUCGCUGGAUGUCCCUGGGGCUGGGUCCAUUGGGCGAUUCCAUGGCGCGGGCGAGCAGCUCCCGAAAGUGGACGUCCUUUCGCCGGUACCCCGGUGUGUUGAGAUUGGCGAUAUUGUUGGCGAUCACCUUUCCCCUGAGGCCGGCUGCGCUCAUGCCCGCUUCGAGGAGUUCGGCUACACUGUUUCCUUCAGCCAUCGCUUGUCUCCGAUCGGCUCGACACGGCCUUGCUCGCGAUACCUGCGGAGUUUCUCGCGAAGGGUCCGGUCU